UACAGAGGUCCCAAGCGUUGUUCGGAUUCAUUGGGCGUAAAGGGUGUGUAGGUGGCGCGCUAAGUCGGGUGUGAAAUUUUGGAGCUUAACUCCGAAACUGCAUUCGAUACUGGCGUGCUUGAGGACUGGAGAGGAGACUGGAAUUCAUGGUGUAGCAGUGAAAUGCGUAGAGAUCAUGAGGAAGACCAGUGGCGAAGGCGGGUCUCUGGACAGUUCCUGACACUGAGACACGAAGGCCAGGGGAGCAAACGGG
This 253-nucleotide ribosomal RNA is filed under the name uncultured bacterium. RNAcentral describes it as "partial 16S ribosomal RNA". It matches the Rfam family "Bacterial small subunit ribosomal RNA", at positions 524 to 776 of the family's 1533-position model. The record is from RNAcentral.